AUUGAACGCUGGCGGCAUGCUUUACACAUGCAAGUCGAACGGCAGCGCGGGCUUCGGCCUGGCGGCGAGUGGCGAACGGGUGAGUAAUACAUCGGAACGUGCCCAGUAGUGGGGGAUAGCUCGGCGAAAGCCGGAUUAAUACCGCAUACGACCUGAGGGUGAAAGCGGGGGAUCUUCGGACCUCGCGCUAUUGGAGCGGCCGAUGGCAGAUUAGCUAGUUGGUGGGGUAAAGGCCUACCAAGGCGACGAUCUGUAGCUGGUCUGAGAGGACGACCAGCCACACUGGGACUGAGACACGGCCCAGACUCCUACGGGAGGCAGUAGUGGGGAAUUUUGGACAAUGGGCGAAAGCCUGAUCCAGCAAUGCCGCGUGUGUGAUGAAGGCCUUCGGGUUGUAAAGCACUUUUGGCGGGAACGAAAAGGACUGUGCCAAUACCACGGUUCGAUGACGGUACCCGCAGAAUAAGCACCGGCUAACUACGUG
This 484-nucleotide ribosomal RNA is filed under the name uncultured bacterium. RNAcentral's name for it is "partial 16S ribosomal RNA". It matches the Rfam family "Bacterial small subunit ribosomal RNA", at positions 29 to 507 of the family's 1533-position model. The record is from RNAcentral.